GUCUACGGCCAUGCUACCCUGAACAAGCCCAAUCCCGUCUGAUCUUGGAAGCAAAGCAGGGUUGGGCCUGGUUAGUACUUGGAUGGGAGACCACCUAGGAAGACCAGGUGCUGUAGGCA
This 119-nucleotide ribosomal RNA is filed under the name Pteropus alecto (black flying fox). Lineage: Eukaryota; Metazoa; Chordata; Mammalia; Chiroptera; Pteropodidae. The record is from RNAcentral.